UCUCCUACCCGCGUCGUGCUCCUGCCAUCUCCUUCCUCUUCCUCUUGGCCUGCUCCUCCUUCCUCCCCCCUCCUGCUCCUCCCUCCUGCUCCCUUCUACUCCUCGCUCCUCCUCUCUGCACGCAGCACCGUCCUCCCGCCACAGAGUCUCGAGCCGCCACCCACAGCGCUUCCUCCCAUUGCCGCCUCGCUGCGUUGUCCGUCACCGCCCGCCGCCUACAACGUCUCCAGCCAUCCCUGGUGGCCAUGGGUAUCCGAGAUCUAGACAACCAUCAGGCUUGUUCUGCCUGGCAAGUUGGCUAAGCAUGCGGUGUACGAGGGUACGAAGGCCGUCAGGAAGUUCACGAGUUCUUGAAUCAAAUAGAUCCGUUGAUUACCAGUUGUGAAGAUGUUUUCCGAAAUUCGUAUGUUUGCUGAGGUUUCUGAAUGAGCUGACUCAGCGGGACUCGAACGCAGAUUGAGCCGUGUGGCUACAGCAAAAUUAUCAAGUCGUGCUUAGAGUUUCGAAUUCGCUUGUUCGCAGAUCCCUCAACACGUUUCGAAAAUCGGAGGAUGGCUUGCUUUACAUUGAAGCUGGCCCAUCAGGAGUCGACAGUUGGAAACUGGAUCCAAUUGUUGAACUUUUGAGAGAGGGAGCAGUGGGGGUCAUUCCCACAAACACUAUGUAUUUUUUGAGGAAGAUGAAGAAAGUUAAGAAGAGCAAAGGACAAAUUCUUGCCAUUAAUAAGUAUUGUGUAUUGCAUGCUGGUAGUGGAUCUAAAGGCGCAUGCUAUUUUAUCUAAAUGUCACCUGCAUGGCUGAUGCAACGUCUUGUGAAUUGGAUGCUGUAGAAACUCCUAGGAUAUCUGGUGCAUGUUUUUGUGAUAUACAGGAUGGGAAAAUGUUCUAUCUACAGAGGGGUUUGCAGCUGUCAUAACAUCAGCACGAUGCCAUGCACUACAGUCGGAUGUAGCUACUGUUUAUUUUUUUUGUUCUAUGAACAAAUGGAAUUUGUAUAUUUUAAUUUUAAUUUGUAUAAUGUAUUUGUAUUUGAAUUUGAUUUUUUUUUUUUGUGUUUUUUUUGUUAUCUGAAUGUAUGGAAUUUUUGUAUUUUAAUUGAAUUUGCAUAAUGUAUUUGUAUUUGAAUUA
Malania oleifera is the source of this 1127-nucleotide RNA transcript. It is a transcript of the gene named large ribosomal subunit protein eL20-like, with no coding region annotated. The record is from RefSeq and is a predicted model, not a curated record. NCBI's taxonomy places the organism in Eukaryota, Viridiplantae, Streptophyta, Magnoliopsida, Santalales, Ximeniaceae. The transcript is spliced from 6 exons.